GGAAACUGCCUGAUGGAGGGGGAUAACUACUGGAAACGGUAGCUAAUACCGCAUAACGUCGCAAGACCAAAGAGGGGGACCUUCGGGCCUCUUGCCAUCAGAUGUGCCCAGAUGGGAUUAGCUAGUAGGUGGGGUAACGGCUCACCUAGGCGACGAUCCCUAGCUGGUCUGAGAGGAUGACCAGCCACACUGGAACUGAGACACGGUCCAGACUCCUACGGGAGGCAGCAGUGGGGAAUAUUGCACAAUGGGCGCAAGCCUGAUGCAGCCAUGCCGCGUGUAUGAAGAAGGCCUUCGGGUUGUAAAGUACUUUCAGCGGGGAGGAAGGGAGUAAAGUUAAUACCUUUGCUCAUUGACGUUACCCGCAGAAGAAGCACCGGCUAACUCCGUGCCAGCAGCCGCGGUAAUACGGAGGGUGCAAGCGUUAAUCGGAAUUACUGGGCGUAAGCGCACGCAGGCGGUUUGUUAAGUCAGAUGUGAAAUCCCCGGGCUCAACCUGGGAACUGCAUCUGAUACUGGCAAGCUUGAGUCUCGUAGAGGGGGGUAGAAUUCCAGGUGUAGCGGUGAAAUGCGUAGAGAUCUGGAGGAAUACCGGUGGCGAAGGCGGCCCCCUGGACGAAGACUGACGCUCAGGUGCGAAAGCGUGGGGAGCAAACAGGAUUAGAUACCCUGGUAGUCCACGCCGUAAACGAUGUCGACUUGGAGGUUGUGCCCUUGAGGCGUGGCUUCCGGAGCUAACGCGUUAAGUCGACCGCCUGGGGAGUACGGCCGCAAGGUUAAAACUCAAAUGAAUUGACGGGGGCCCGCACAAGCGGUGGAGCAUGUGGUUUAAUUCGAUGCAACGCGAAGAACCUUACCUGGUCUUGACAUCCACGGAAGUUUUCAGAGAUGAGAAUGUGCCUUCGGGAACCGUGAGACAGGUGCUGCAUGGCUGUCGUCAGCUCGUGUUGUGAAAUGUUGGGUUAAGUCCCGCAACGAGCGCAACCCUUAUCCUUUGUUGCCAGCGGUCCGGCCGGGAACUCAAAGGAGACUGCCAGUGAUAAACUGGAGGAAGGGUGGGGGAUGACGUCAAGUCAUCAUGGCCCUUC
Molecule: ribosomal RNA, 1088 nt
Filed under: uncultured Escherichia sp.
Lineage: Bacteria; Pseudomonadati; Pseudomonadota; Gammaproteobacteria; Enterobacterales; Enterobacteriaceae
Description: bacterial SSU rRNA
Rfam family: Bacterial small subunit ribosomal RNA
Source: RNAcentral